AAGGUCAGAGAUCUAGGUAAGGGGGUAAUUAUGUUGUGGGAAGGUGUUAGGCACCCACAACAUCCUAGGUACUCCUAGGGAACCCUUUUCACAACUUGUUGUAAAAUUAUUUGUUUAUGAAAUAUUUUUGUGCAAACAUUGAUUGAAGAGAUGAGGGAAGAAUGUACAAGUUUAUUAUUUUUGUGUUUGGAUGGAUGAAACCCAUUUCCUACGUGUAGCACCUCAAAU
RNAcentral lists this long non-coding RNA (228 nucleotides) under Lathyrus oleraceus (garden pea). RNAcentral's name for it is "Pisum sativum (pea) long non-coding RNA (PSAT_LNC020830)". The record is from RNAcentral. Lineage: Eukaryota; Viridiplantae; Streptophyta; Magnoliopsida; Fabales; Fabaceae.